RNAcentral lists this ribosomal RNA (269 nucleotides) under uncultured bacterium. RNAcentral describes it as "partial 16S ribosomal RNA". It matches the Rfam family "Bacterial small subunit ribosomal RNA", at positions 793 to 1055 of the family's 1533-position model. The record is from RNAcentral.
GUCCACGCCGUAAACGAUGCGCACUAGAUACGAGUGACUCUGACGUUGUUCGUGUCGAAACAAAGCGUUAAGUGCGCCGCCUGGGGAGUACGGCCGCAAGGCUAAAACUCAAAGGAAUUGACGGGGGCUCACACAAGCGGUGGAGCAUGUGGAUUAAUUCGAAGCAACGCGAAGAACCUUACCUAGGUUUGACAUGCACGGAUGGUCUCGGGGAAACUCGAGUAAUCUGCCUUCGGGUGAAACGUGCACAGGUGCUGCAUGGCUGUCGU